AGUUUGAUCCUGGCUCAGGAUGAACGCUAGCUACAGGCUUAACACAUGCAAGUCGAGGGGCAGCAUCAUCAAAGCUUGCUUUGAUGGAUGGCGACCGGCGCACGGGUGAGUAACACGUAUCCAACCUGCCGACAACUCUGGGAUAGCCUUUCGAAAGAAAGAUUAAUACCGGAUGGUAUAAUUAUUCCGCAUGGGAUUAUUAUUAAAGAAUUUCGGUUGUCGAUGGGGAUGCGUUCCAUUAGGCAGUUGGCGGGGUAACGGCCCACCAAACCUACGAUGGAUAGGGGUUCUGAGAGGAAGGUCCCCCACAUUGGAACUGAGACACGGUCCAAACUCCUACGGGAGGCAGCAGUGAGGAAUAUUGGUCAAUGGACGAGAGUCUGAACCAGCCAAGUAGCGUGAAGGAUGACUGCCCUAUGGGUUGUAAACUUCUUUUAUACGGGAAUAAAGUGAGCCACGUGUGGCUUUUUGUAUGUACCGUAUGAAUAAGGAUCGGCUAACUCCGUGCCAGCAGCCGCGGUAAUACGGAGGAUCCGAGCGUUAUCCGGAUUUAUUGGGUUUAAAGGGAGCGUAGGCGGGUUGUUAAGUCAGUUGUGAAAGUUUGCGGCUCAACCGUAAAAUUGCAGUUGAUACUGGCGACCUUGAGUGCAACAGAGGUAGGCGGAAUUCGUGGUGUAGCGGUGAAAUGCUUAGAUAUCACGAAGAACUCCGAUUGCGAAGGCAGCUUACUGGAUUGUAACUGACGCUGAUGCUCGAAAGUGUGGGUAUCAAACAGGAUUAGAUACCCUGGUAGUCCACACAGUAAACGAUGAAUACUCGCUGUUGGCGAUAUACAGUCAGCGGCCAAGCGAAAGCAUUAAGUAUUCCACCUGGGGAGUACGCCGGCAACGGUGAAACUCAAAGGAAUUGACGGGGGCCCGCACAAGCGGAGGAACAUGUGGUUUAAUUCGAUGAUACGCGAGGAACCUUACCCGGGCUUAAAUUGCAACUGACGGAAUCGGAAACGGUUCUUUCUUCGGACAGUUGUGAAGGUGCUGCAUGGUUGUCGUCAGCUCGUGCCGUGAGGUGUCGGCUUAAGUGCCAUAACGAGCGCAACCCUUACGGGUAGUUACCAUCAGGUUAUGCUGGGGACUCUACCCGGACUGCCGUCGUAAGAUGUGAGGAAGGUGG
Molecule: ribosomal RNA, 1170 nt
Filed under: uncultured Bacteroides sp.
Lineage: Bacteria; Pseudomonadati; Bacteroidota; Bacteroidia; Bacteroidales; Bacteroidaceae
Description: bacterial SSU rRNA
Rfam family: Bacterial small subunit ribosomal RNA
Source: RNAcentral